This 497-nucleotide ribosomal RNA is filed under the name uncultured bacterium. Its description in RNAcentral is "partial 16S ribosomal RNA". It matches the Rfam family "Bacterial small subunit ribosomal RNA", at positions 28 to 507 of the family's 1533-position model. The record is from RNAcentral.
GAUGAACGCUGGCGGCGUGCCUAAUACAUGCAAGUCGAGCGAACGGACGAGAAGCUUGCUUUUCUGAUGUUAGCGGCGGACGGGUGAGUAACACGUGGAUAACCUACCUAUAAGACUGGGAUAACUUCGGGAAACCGGAGCUAAUACCGGAUAAUAUUUUGAACCGCAUGGUUCAAAAGUGAAAGACGGUCUUGCUGUCACUUAUAGAUGGAUCCGCGCUGCAUUAGCUAGUUGGUAAGGUAACGGCUUGCCAAGGCAACGAUGCAUAGCCGACCUGAGAGGGUGAUCGGCCACACUGGAACUGAGACACGGUCCAGACUCCUACGGGAGGCAGCAGUAGGGAAUCUUCCGCAAUGGGCGAAAGCCUGACGGAGCAACGCCGCGUGAGUGAUGAAGGUCUUCGGAUCGUAAAACUCUGUUAUUAGGGAAGAACAUAUGUGUAAGUAACUGUGCACAUCUUGACGGUACCUAAUCAGAAAGCCACGGCUAACUACGUG